RNAcentral lists this ribosomal RNA (675 nucleotides) under Arborophila javanica. RNAcentral's name for it is "partial 12S ribosomal RNA". It matches the Rfam family "Bacterial small subunit ribosomal RNA", at positions 521 to 1494 of the family's 1533-position model. Lineage: Eukaryota; Metazoa; Chordata; Aves; Galliformes; Phasianidae. The record is from RNAcentral.
UCAUACAAGAGGCCCAAAUCAAUAAUCAUCCGGCGUAAAGAGUGGCUAUAUGUUAUCUACAUUGACUAAGAUCGAAGUUCAACUAAGCUGUCAUAAGCCCAAGAUUCACCUAAGCCCCGUCCCAAAACAUCUUAGUCUAUAUGAUUAAUUAUAAUCCACGAAAGCCAGGGUACAAACUGGGAUUAGAUACCCCACUAUGCCUGGCCAUAAAUUCAGAUACCCUCCCUACUUCCGUAUCCGCCUGAGAACUACGAGCACAAACGCUUAAAACUCUAAGGACUUGGCGGUGCCCCAAACCCACCUAGAGGAGCCUGUUCUGUAACCGAUAAUCCACGAUUCACCCAACCACCCCUUGCCAACGCAGCCUACAUACCGCCGUCGCCAGCUCACCUCCAAUGAAAGAAUAGCAGUGAGCCCAACAGACUUCCCCCUAGCAAGACAGGUCAAGGUAUAGCCCAUGGGGUGGAAGAAAUGGGCUACAUUUUCUAACCUAGAACAUACGAAAAAAACAUGAAACCCGUUCUUAGAAGGCGGAUUUAGCAGUAAAGUGAAACCAUACCCAGUUCACUUUAAGCUGGCUCUGAGCACGUACAUUCCGCCCGUCACCCUUUUCAUAAGCCACUAUCACCAAUAAAUUAUACCCCCCAAGGCUAAAGACGAGGCAAGUUGUAACAA